AUGUUCGCGUUGAUGAGGAGAAGUAGGUAAUCGAAGCCUUACAGAGAGAACCGUCCCCGGCUGCAAACGGUUUAGGCCUCUCGAUUAUUGAAAUGCCCCUCUGAGCCUGCCGUUGAAAGGUUGCCGAGUAAGCGGCAGCGGGUCCGCCCCGUUAUCAGGUUAAGCUGGAAAGACAGCCUUGUGCUGUUUUUCAAUCAGAGUGGAACCGCGUAUAUCAUACGUCUCUGUU
RNAcentral lists this non-coding RNA (229 nucleotides) under Bacillaceae bacterium. RNAcentral describes it as "T-box sequence". It matches the Rfam family "T-box leader". Rfam says of the family: Uncharged tRNA acts as the effector for transcription antitermination of genes in the T-box leader family. T-boxes are found upstream of many aminoacyl-tRNA synthetase genes and some amino acid biosynthetic genes usually in Gram-positive bacteria. The record is from RNAcentral. Lineage: Bacteria; Bacillati; Bacillota; Bacilli; Caryophanales; Bacillaceae.